Long non-coding RNA from Manis pentadactyla (Chinese pangolin), 4402 nucleotides. RefSeq lists it as uncharacterized. The transcript has 5 exons. NCBI's taxonomy places the organism in Eukaryota, Metazoa, Chordata, Mammalia, Pholidota, Manidae. The record is from RefSeq and is a predicted model, not a curated record.
GCCUUCCCCACCUGCUGCACUGAAGCUAGGGCUGCCGCCUUGUGAGGUGCCUACAGGUAACUGGCACCUAGCCCACCUCUCGGCCCGCCACUGUCUGAGGGCUUGGGGGGAGGGGCAACUUGGGAUGGGUGCCCUCCAGACACCCAUCCUUAACUAGCCCGCCUGAAAUCCUGUCCCCAGAGUGUUUUGAUUUAGGCAGAGGCCAGAAGGCAAAGGUCACAGGCAAAGGUCGGGAAAUCUGGCUCUGACUGCACAGGGGUUGCCUGUGCGUGGGGUGCAGGGGCUGGGGAAGGGGAGCCAUUCUGGUUUGGUGCCCAGUGAUUCCUGCCACCCACCUCCUGGGGGCUGGGCCCAGAUCUGGGUAGGUCUUGUCUCCCCAGGGAGGGCCUUGCCUUCCAGACUUGAGGCUCACCUGUGAGUGGGGUAAACACUGCCUCUAAGCCUCUGUGAGGAACCUCCGGGGUCCUACAGGUGCGGUGGACUGACUGGGAAGGGGGCUGUGUGACUUCAGAGAGCCCUUCCUUCUCUGGACCUUAUUUCCCAAAGGAUGGUUUCGGCCUAGGCAGAGACCCAGCAGUCUGGGCAGGCUCUGCGUGGUGGGACCUGGGUCCCAGCAGGAAAGGAUGGGUGUAAGACGUGGAGUGGGGUGGGGGCCAUACCUGAAAUGUGCAAUAAGGUGGGGGACCAAGAGGGAACCUGUGUGGGUGGGGACCUCCACCCCUGCUGGGCUGGGCCACCUCUAUUUAUGUAACAAUUCAUAAGACAUAAACAGCAGGAGCUGGGAAUGGAGAGGUCAGGGCCUUCCUACUCAGCAGUCUAGGGGCCUGAGGACCUAGGAGGCGCCUGCCCUCUGCCAGAUCCCUGGGGGUCCUGAUGGGAGUGACCAGCUCCUGCGCUCCAGGGCAGGCCAGGAUGAGGGAUAGCAGACAGAUGGCCCACCCUUGUGUUCUGGGCCGUGACAUGAUGGUCUUAAAAGAAAUUGAGUGGCCAGACUGUCAGAAGCCCAGCGCGGAGGGGCCCUGGGGCCAGGAGGGCACACCAGGCCCAGAGGCUGUGGAGCUGUAGAAAGGUGGGAGGAGACGGUGGCCCUGUUGCCCGCGUUGGGCGUCACAGGGCGCUUCUUUCUAGGCCUCUUGACAACGGUAAUGAGAAAUGAAGUGAAGGGCCGGGGACCCCCAGAUGGAUUUGAGAGACCACGAGCCGACGGCAGAGAGGUAGCUGGAGGAGGCAGAAGGGGCACCUUGGCUCUGCGUGGUGGGGCAGGUGAGCCGCUGGACCUUUGGGAGGCAGGCAGGCAGCACCAUAGAGCCCUUGUCAAUUAAAAGCAUAACAUCUGAAAGUUCUGAAAUUUAGUAGGAUUGAAAGACUGGGUUGAGGAAAUGUGGCAGGAAACAACGAAGAUCGAUUCGAGAUGGGACCCAGGAAAGGAGGGCCGAGAGGGUGCAGGAGCAGGUGCAGGGGCCGGGAUGUCUAGCGCUUGAGUGACAGGUUCCAUCAGAGGCGGACGCCUGGGAAGCCGCAGUCUGAGGCACGCAUGUCCCAGAAGCUCCUCCGUGGAAGGGCCUGCCACACACUCCACACAGUAAGUCAGCAAGCAAGCUAAGCAAAUAAACCCCACCGAGUCACAUCUUCGGGACAUUUCAAAGAAAUCAAAAUAGAGAGAGAUGCAGAAAGCCUCUAGGGAGGAAACACGGGGCUCCCAGAAAUAGGUGCACCAGGAGCUCCCAGGCCAUCCCCAGCAGGGUGCCACGUUCCCAGAGGACGUGUCGCCUCGGAUCCCAUCUCCAGGUGCACCGUCCUCCAGGUCUCACUCACUUGUGGAAUUACUGUGGCUCUGGAGGGGGAUUCGCCCCACACCGUGCGUGAAGAACACACCACUGAAUCCGAAGGCUGCAGAAACCAGAACAUGAAUGCCUGCUGUGCACUGGGUGCUGGGUGCAGAGGGCCGCUGGCAUCCUAGCGGAGAGAUGUGGACCGUGGCAGCCCGGGGGAUGCGGCAAUGCCAGGCUCUGGUGUGUCCCACGAAGAACAAUAAAGCAGGCUAACGAGCCAGUGAAGAAGGUGGCUAUUUCAGAUGGACCCAGUUGCUCUAACACCAUUUACUGGAAAGAUGACCCUUCACUGAAAGACUUUGGCCCGUUUGUGAAAAACCAGUUGGCCAUCCAUGCUGUGCAUCUGUGUCUGGGGUCCGUCCUGUCCCACCGAUGGGUGUGUCCCUGUCUGCGCCAGUGUCUGUUGCUAUGGUGAAUUACCCUAAUUUUUGACUGUCCUACCAGCCUUGCAUUCCUGGGAUAAAUUUCACCUGGGCAUGAAUAAGAAAAUCCUCUGGUUUUAGUGCCAGGGUGAUGCUGGGCUCACAGAAUCAGCAGGAAGGUGUCCCCUCCUCUCCUCUUUCCUGGAAGUUAGUGUAGAAGUGAUGCUAUUACUUCCUUAGAUAUUGGUGAAUUCUCCGGGGAAGCCAUCUGGGCCUGGAGCUGCCUUUCUGUGAAAAGGCUUCAACCACAGAUUCCGUGUCUGUAACGGUAGCUCCACUUUCCUCCAUAUUACCACACUUACUUAAAACUUUUGUGCCGCUAUUUAGUACUGCUAGCUGGAACUAAGAGUUUCUCAAAUUGCCACAUAUCUCCACUGACACGGGGUUCUAUUUUGCUUUUAAAUGGCAUAGUAUUUUCUUUAAGGUGCCAGGUCACUGGUGGCAGGCAUGUCUGAGGGGCUGGACGAAGGUGGGCGAGGGCCCCGUUCCGUCCCAGCCGUGUGCGGGACUUGGCCUCUGACUCAGCCUGCAGGGCAGCCGACAUGCCCUUUUCCCAGCUGCAAACUUUCCCAGCCCGUCUGCUGCUGCCAGAGGCAGAGAUUUAAAACACCUUGGGGCUGGGGGGCCCUCCUGGCAGGCUCUUGGCUGUGCCGGGGUGCAGCCAGGGCCUCCUGGAGCUGGUUCCUGGUGCCCUGCCCUUGCCUGCAGCCUGGGCCCGGCAGCCAUGGGCCGGGGAGCCCGCUCCCCUCUUGCUCCUGGCCUUCCUCUGAAUCCAAGAUCGGGGCUGCACUGUCCGGGGACUUGCUUAUCCCGGCAGAGGACGUGUGUGCCCACAGAAGGUGUGCGCGUCUGUGUGCACGCACGGAAGCCCUCCCUGAGUCCCUGGGAGACCCUCAGGCGCACUGGGGCAGCAAGGUCUCCAAAGCGCCGUGGCCAGGGGCUGUUGUACAGUGCAGGAAGGCCCUGGGUGGCCCUGCCUGAGCCAGGCCUAGGGGGCUUUAUCUGGCUGCUGCCUGUCCACAUAGACCCAGCGUGAGCCUCAGAUCCAGCUGCAAAUGGGCCUGUGCAAAGGCACAUCAGGUGGCACCCAGUGUGGCUGGAUCAAAUCAGGCCACUGAGAGGUGGCAGUGGUGGGAAGGGGCCCUGGGGCCACCAGCUCUGGAUGGGGCCAGGCUCGGGUCAGGGACAAGGCAGGAGGGCUGGGGGACAGGUGGGCAGAGACAUGAGCAGGGCAGGCAGCCCCUGACCCAGGAGCUCAGGAAGUCACAGGCCCCCGUCUGGGUAUCGGCUAAGAAGGGGGCCAGUGAGGGCAUAGCCGCAGCCAAAAGGGCCAGGCAGGAGUGCUGGAGGUGAUAAGGAGGCUGGAAAGGAUGGGUAGGAGUCCCACAGGGCCCAGGGCCAGGGCGAGGCCCAGGGAAUCCGUGGAGGGCCAUUAAGCCCGGAAUGUGCCUGGAGCCACCGGUGCACGGGUCACUUGCCUCUUCCUGACUCCGUGUGCCUGGCUCAGUCCCGCCAGUGGCACACAGGUCACCGUAUUCUGGCGCCAGCCGCCCCUCUUCCUUGUCUCCUCCUUCUCCUCACCCGGCCCAGAGCUCCACCGCGCCCUCCCAUCUGGGCUGGGAUUCCCUGUGGAAAAAUCAGGUGGGUUCUCCAGGAGAUGGCUUCAACUUAGCAGAGGUGGGGAUUGGGGCCCUGGAGCCGGGAAGCUGGGGUUGUCCACCACCCUCUCCCUCGCAAGUUGCUGGCAACAAGCUGCUCAGCUUGAGUGGCUUGGCCUGGGCCAUAGUGGACAGGGCAAUCGGCCAAGCUUGUCUCCAGCAUUUGGGAGGUACGGGGCAGUGGCAGUAAUUCUAAGGAUUGGGUAUCAGCUGGCCUGAAGCCUUGAAGAAAGCUGAGCCAGCCAGUAGCAAUUCCAGGCCUGCAGAGAGACCCAGAACCCGUCACAGGCUCUCCUCGAAGCUUGCGUGUUGACGUCCUCAUUCACAGAGGUAAAUAAGGUAAGAUGAGGUCACUAGAGUGGACCCUGGUGCAGUCUGACUGGUGUCCCUGCGAGAGGAGGUGAUCGGGACACAGGCACAGAGAGGGACAGCGCGAGUCCCCAGGGAGCCAAACAGAGAGGCCCCGAGGAGCCGGCCCUCCAGGACCUGG